Molecule: transfer RNA, 72 nt
Filed under: Gemmatimonadota bacterium
Lineage: Bacteria; Pseudomonadati; Gemmatimonadota
Also listed under: 2 other names
Description: Gemmatimonadetes bacterium tRNA-Thr
Rfam family: tRNA
About the family: Transfer RNA (tRNA) molecules are approximately 80 nucleotides in length. Their secondary structure includes four short double-helical elements and three loops (D, anti-codon, and T loops).
Source: RNAcentral
GCCACCGUAGCUCAGUGGUAGAGCACUCGAUUCGUAAUCGAGCGGUCGUCGGUUCAACUCCGACCGGUGGCU